This 452-nucleotide ribosomal RNA is filed under the name Melo melo. RNAcentral's name for it is "partial 16S ribosomal RNA". It matches the Rfam family "Bacterial large subunit ribosomal RNA", at positions 1931 to 2593 of the family's 2925-position model. Lineage: Eukaryota; Metazoa; Mollusca; Gastropoda; Neogastropoda; Volutidae. The record is from RNAcentral.
UUGCGGUACUCUGACCGUGCAAAGGUAGCAUAAUCAUUUGUCUUAUAAUUGAAGACUGGAAUGAAUGGUUUGACAAGAAUACUUCUGUCUCUUUAUAAUUUUAUAGAACUUAAUUUUUAGGUGAAGAAGCCUAAGUAAAAUUGAAAGACAAGAAGACCCUAUCGAGCUUUAAGUAAAUUAGUAACCUAAGAAUAAUAUGAGAUAGAGAUAUAAGUUACUAAAAAAUUUUGGUUGGGGCGACAAAGGAACAUAAAAAGCUUCCUUUAUUUAGUUGUAUAUUUUCAAAUCUGGAUCCAAAUUUUUGUUGAUUAGAGAAAAUAGUUACCGUAGGGAUAACAGCAUAAUCUUUUUUGAGAGCUCAUAUUGAAAAAAAGGUUUGUGACCUCGAUGUUGGAUCAGAAUACCCUAAAGAUGCAGAAGUCUUUAAUGGUUGGUCUGUUCGACCAUUAAAA